GUCCUAAGGUAGCGAAAUUCCUUGUCGGGUAAGUUCCGACCUGCACGAAUGGCGUAACGAUCUCCACACUGUCUCGGCCAGAGACUCGGUGAAAUUGCAGUCGCGGUGAAAAUUCCGUGUACCCGCAGAAAGACGGAAAGACCCUGUGCACCUUUACUAUAGCUUGACAUUGGAUUUUGGGCCUGCAUGUGUAGGAUAGGUGGGAGGCUGUGAACCCUGUACGCCAGUAUGGGGGGAGCCAUCCUUGAAAUACCACCCUUGCAUGUUUAAGAUCCUAACUUCUUCCGGUUAUCCCGGAGAAAGACAGUGUCUGGCGGGUAGUUUGACUGGGGCGGUCGCCUCCUAAAGUGUAACGGAGGCAUGCAAAGGUUCCCUCAGCCUGAUCGGAAACCAGGCGCUGAGUGCAAACGCAUAAGGGAGCUUGACUGUAAGAGAGACAUCUCGAACAGGAACGAAAGUUGGCGUUAGUGAUCCGGUGGUCCCGAAUGGAAGGGCCAUCGCUCAUUGGAUAAAAGGUACGCCGGGGAUAACAGGCUGAUCGCAUCCAAGAGUUCACAUCGACGAUGCGGUUUGGCACCUCGAUGUCGGCUCAUCACAUCCUGGGGCUGAAGCAGGUCCCAAGGGUACGGCUGUUCGCCGUUUAAAGUGGUACGCGAGCUGGGUUUAAAACGUCGUGAGACAGUUUGGUCCCUAUCUUCUGUGGGCGAAGGAGAAUUGAGAGGGCCUGUCCCUAGUACGAGAGGACCGGGAUGGACGCACCCCUGGUGAUCCUGUUGUCGCGCCAGCGGCAUAGCAGGGUAGCUAUGUGCGGAAGGGAUAACCGCUGAAAGCAUCUAAGCGGGAAGCCUGCCUCAAGAUAAGUUCUCCCCUCGAAAGAGCUGAAGGGCCCGGGUAGACUACCCGGUCGAUAGGCUGGAGGUGUAAGCGCGGCGACGUGCUCAGCUGACCAGUACUAAUAGCCCGAGCGGCUUAUUUUU
This 977-nucleotide ribosomal RNA is filed under the name gut metagenome. RNAcentral describes it as "bacterial LSU rRNA". It matches the Rfam family "Bacterial large subunit ribosomal RNA", at positions 1948 to 2925 of the family's 2925-position model. The record is from RNAcentral.